GCGGAUGGCCGGAUGACCGCGUGUCCCGGAUCUUGUCCGGGACGCGAGGAAAGUCCGGACUCCAUGAAGAAAGGGCGCCGGGUAAUGCCCGGCCGGGGUAACCCGAGGGAAAGCGCCACAGAGAACAGACUACCUUCGCCUUGUCGGCGCGGGAAAAGGUGAAAAGGUGGGGUAAGAGCCCACCGGGGCACUGGCAACAGCGCCCGCAUGGCAAGCCCCGCCCGGAGCAAUGCCAAAUAGGGGUCCCGCGGCGCUUGCGCCACGGUUUCUUCAGCCCAGGGGCCCGGGUCGGCAGCUAGACCCCGCUGGUAACAGCGGGGGCAGAUGAAUGGUCAUCGAACCCCGGAUCACGGUCCGGGGGGAACAGAAUCCGGCUUACAGGCCAUCCGCGCAU
This 394-nucleotide RNase P RNA is filed under the name Paracoccaceae bacterium. RNAcentral's name for it is "Rhodobacteraceae bacterium (activated sludge metagenome) RNase P RNA component class A". It matches the Rfam family "Bacterial RNase P class A". From Rfam's summary of the family: Ribonuclease P (RNase P) is a ubiquitous endoribonuclease, found in archaea, bacteria and eukarya as well as chloroplasts and mitochondria. Its best characterised activity is the generation of mature 5'-ends of tRNAs by cleaving the 5'-leader elements of precursor-tRNAs. The record is from RNAcentral. Lineage: Bacteria; Pseudomonadati; Pseudomonadota; Alphaproteobacteria; Rhodobacterales; Paracoccaceae.